RNAcentral lists this ribosomal RNA (558 nucleotides) under uncultured Glomus. RNAcentral describes it as "eukaryotic LSU rRNA". The stretch from base 156 to 309 matches the Rfam family "5.8S ribosomal RNA". Lineage: Eukaryota; Fungi; Glomeromycota; Glomeromycetes; Glomerales; Glomeraceae. The record is from RNAcentral.
GGAAGUAAAAGUCGUAACAAGGUUUCCGUAGGUGAACCUGCGGAAGGAUCAUUACUGAUUUAGCGAACCGAGCAUUAGCGAGGUUUUGCGAUCAAUUUAUAUUUAAAACCCACUCUUUAAUGUAUAAAAUUUGUAUUAAUGAUAAAUUAAAAGAUCACUUUCAACAACGGAUCUCUUGGCUCUCGCAUCGAUGAAGAACGUAGCGAAGUGCGAUAAGUAAUGUGAAUUGCAGUAUUCCGUGAAUCAUCGAAUCUUUGAACGCAUAUUGCACUUUCUGGUAUUCCGGAAAGUAUGCCUGUUUGAGGGUCAGUUAAAUAAAAAUCGGUGUUGUUGCUGCCUUUCGUGGUGACGCGUCGGAAUUGAGUUGUCUUACCUUCGGUUAAGUGACUUAAAAUUUUGUAUGAUUUUCGAACGUAUUUAAAUUUAUUUGUACGUUUGAGAUAUCGAAUGUUUAUUAGGUUCGGUCAUUCUAAUGACUCGCGCCUAUAGUUUUUCAUUAAAUGACCUCAAAUCAGGUAAGAAUACCCGCUGAACUUAAGCAUAUCAAUAAGCGGAGGA